This 330-nucleotide ribosomal RNA is filed under the name uncultured bacterium. RNAcentral describes it as "bacterial SSU rRNA". It matches the Rfam family "Bacterial small subunit ribosomal RNA", at positions 568 to 898 of the family's 1533-position model. The record is from RNAcentral.
UGCGCAGGCGGUUAUAUAAGACAGAUGUGAAAUCCCCGGGCUCAACCUGGGACCUGCAUUUGUGACUGUAUGGCUGGAGUACGGUAGAGGGGGAUGGAAUUCCGCGUGUAGCAGUGAAAUGCGUAGAUAUGCGGAGGAACACCGAUGGCGAAGGCAAUCCCCUGGACCUGUACUGACGCUCAUGCACGAAAGCGUGGGGAGCAAACAGGAUUAGAUACCCUGGUAGUCCACGCCCUAAACGAUGUCAACUGGUUGUUGGGUCUUCACUGACUCAGUAACGAAGCUAACGCGUGAAGUUGACCGCCUGGGGAGUACGGCCGCAAGGUUGAA